Molecule: long non-coding RNA, 633 nt
Organism: Vanessa tameamea
Lineage: Eukaryota; Metazoa; Arthropoda; Insecta; Lepidoptera; Nymphalidae
Exons: 3
Source: RefSeq, a predicted model, not a curated record
AUGAAGAGCAUCUUUUUUAUAAUAGAAAAGGAUAUCAUUCCUUAAAUGUUCAAAUGGUUUGUGAUAGUAAUCUUUUAAUUUUAAAUGUAAAUGCAAAGUUUGGUGGAGCUACACAUGAUUCACAUAUAUGGUCUUCUAGUAGAGUUGAAUUAUAUAUGCGUGAACUUCAUCAAAAUAAUGAGAAAGUAUGGCUCUUAGGUGACUCUGGAUAUCCACAACGCCCUUGGCUUAUGACACCUAUCCUCAAUGCAGUUGAAGGUUCUAGGGAAGACCAAUACACUCGAUUGCAUGUGCAAGCCCGUAACUGCAUUGAGCGAUGUUUUGGAUUACUCAAAGCAAUGUGGAGAUGUUUGCUUAGAGACAGGGUUCUUCACUAUCAUCCUCGUGUAGCUAGCAAAAUUACAAUGGCAUGUUGUGUAUUACACAAUAUAGCUUUGCAAUCUGGGCUGCCACCACCACAACCACUUCCUGCUGCACAUGACAAUGGGGAUGAUACAAUGAUGCAAGAUCCCACAUCCACUGCGUUUGUAGGUAGCCAGAGUGAAGUAAUCCAAGGCAGAGCCAUGCUGAGUUGUUUAUUGAAUAGGAUAUAGUAAGAUUAUUUUAAGCUUUAAUAUGAAUCUAUUUUACAUU